Molecule: ribosomal RNA, 423 nt
Filed under: Prevotella intermedia
Lineage: Bacteria; Pseudomonadati; Bacteroidota; Bacteroidia; Bacteroidales; Prevotellaceae
Description: bacterial SSU rRNA
Rfam family: Bacterial small subunit ribosomal RNA
Source: RNAcentral
GAUGAACGCUAGCUAUAGGCUUAACACAUGCAAGUCGAGGGGAAACGGCAUUAUGUGCUUGCACAUUCUGGACGUCGACCGGCGCACGGGUGAGUAUCGCGUAUCCAACCUUCCCUCCACUCGGGGAUACCCCGUUGAAAGACGGCCUAAUACCCGAUGUUGUCCACAGAUGGCAUCUGACGUGGACCAAAGAUUCAUCGGUGGAGGAUGGGGAUGCGUCUGAUUAGCUUGUUGGUGCGGGUAACGGCCCACCAAGGCGACGAUCAGUAGGGGUUCUGAGAGGAAGGUCCCCCACAUUGGAACUGAGACACGGUCCAAACUCCUACGGGAGGCAGCAGUGAGGAAUAUUGGUCAAUGGACGUAAAGUCUGAAACCCAGCCAAAGUAAGCGUGCAGGAAUGACGGGCCCCUAAUGGGGUGUAAA